Molecule: small nuclear RNA, 126 nt
Filed under: Chlorocebus sabaeus (green monkey)
Lineage: Eukaryota; Metazoa; Chordata; Mammalia; Primates; Cercopithecidae
Description: U2 spliceosomal RNA
Rfam family: U2 spliceosomal RNA
About the family: U2 is a small nuclear RNA (snRNA) component of the spliceosome (involved in pre-mRNA splicing).
Source: Rfam by way of RNAcentral
AUCGCUUCUUGGCCUUUUGGCCAAGAUCAAGUGUAAAAUACAAAUAGUGGUUUGUAAUGGCGAAAAAUGGUUUCGCCAUUUUGGCCAUGUUGGUCUUGAACUCCUGACCUCAGGUGAUCUGCCUGU